This 1372-nucleotide ribosomal RNA is filed under the name uncultured bacterium. RNAcentral describes it as "bacterial SSU rRNA". It matches the Rfam family "Bacterial small subunit ribosomal RNA", at positions 28 to 1381 of the family's 1533-position model. The record is from RNAcentral.
GAUGAGCGCUGGCGGCGUGCCUAAUACAUGCAAGUCGAGCGAACGGACGAGAAGCUUGCUUCUCUGAUGUUAGCGGCGGACGGGUGAGUAACACGUGGAUAACCUACCUAUAAGACUGGGAUAACUUCGGGAAACCGGAGCUAAUACCGGAUAAUAUUUUGAACCGCAUGGUUCAAAAGUGAAAGACGGUCUUGCUGUCACUUAUAGAUGGAUCCGCGCUGCAUUAGCUAGUUGGUAAGGUAACGGCUUACCAAGGCAACGAUGCAUAGCCGACCUGAGAGGGUGAUCGGCCACACUGGAACUGAGACACGGUCCAGACUCCUACGGGAGGCAGCAGUAGGGAAUCUUCCGCAAUGGGCGAAAGCCUGACGGAGCAACGCCGCGUGAGUGAUGAAGGUCUUCGGAUCGUAAAACUCUGUUAUUAGGGAAGAACAUAUGUGUAAGUAACUGUGCACAUCUUGACGGUACCUAAUCAGAAAGCCACGGCUAACUACGUGCCAGCAGCCGCGGUAAUACGUAGGUGGCAAGCGUUAUCCGGAAUUAUUGGGCGUAAAGCGCGCGUAGGCGGUUUUUUAAGUCUGAUGUGAAAGCCCACGGCUCAACCGUGGAGGGUCAUUGGAAACUGGAAAACUUGAGUGCAGAAGAGGAAAGUGGAAUUCCAUGUGUAGCGGUGAAAUGCGCAGAGAUAUGGAGGAACACCAGUGGCGAAGGCGACUUUCUGGUCUGUAACUGACGCUGAUGUGCGAAAGCGUGGGGAUCAAACAGGAUUAGAUACCCUGGUAGUCCACGCCGUAAACGAUGAGUGCUAAGUGUUAGGGGGUUUCCGCCCCUUAGUGCUGCAGCUAACGCAUUAAGCACUCCGCCUGGGGAGUACGACCGCAAGGUUGAAACUCAAAGGAAUUGACGGGGACCCGCACAAGCGGUGGAGCAUGUGGUUUAAUUCGAAGCAACGCGAAGAACCUUACCAAAUCUUGACAUCCUUUGACAACUCUAGAGAUAGAGCCUUCCCCUUCGGGGGACAAAGUGACUGGUGGUGCAUGGUUGUCGUCAGCUCGUGUCGUGAGAUGUUGGGUUAAGUCCCGCAACGAGCGCAACCCUUAAGCUUAGUUGCCAUCAUUAAGUUGGGCACUCUAAGUUGACUGCCGGUGACAAACCGGAGGAAGGUGGGGAUGACGUCAAAUCAUCAUGCCCCUUAUGAUUUGGGCUACACACGUGCUACAAUGGACAAUACAAAGGGCAGCGAAACCGCGAGGUCAAGCAAAUCCCAUAAAGUUGUUCUCAGUUCGGAUUGUAGUCUGCAACUCGACUACAUGAAGCUGGAAUCGCUAGUAAUCGUAGAUCAGCAUGCUACGGUGAAUACGUUCCCGGGUCU